AUGGCGGCCCGCGGGAAUUGAUUAGAGUUUGAUCAUGGCUCAGAUUGAACGCUGGCGGAAUGCUUUACACAUGCAAGUCGAGCGGCAGCACGGGGGCAACCCUGGUGGCGAGCGGCGAACGGGUGAGUAAUACAUCGGAACAUGCCAGUCGUGGGGGAUAACACUUCGAAAGAAGUGCUAAUACCGCAUACGUCCUGAGGGAGAAAGCGGGGGAUCGAAAGACCUCGCGCGAUUGGAGUGGCCGAUGUCAGAUUAGCUAGUUGGUGGGGUAAAGGCCUACCAAGGCAACGAUCUGUAGCUGGUCUGAGAGGAGGAUGAGCCACACUGGGACUAAGACAGGGCCCAGACUCCUACGGGAGGCAGCAG
Molecule: ribosomal RNA, 366 nt
Filed under: uncultured bacterium
Lineage: Bacteria
Description: bacterial SSU rRNA
Rfam family: Bacterial small subunit ribosomal RNA
Source: RNAcentral